CAUCUCGCUCCCAGUGUCGGGCCCCAGCGUUCAGCAGUGUGGAGCGGAGGGUCGGCUCCAUCUCUGAGCACGCACUGACCCUCACUGGCUGCAGAAGCAAGAUUUAAGCAGAGCUCUGGGGGAUGGGUGGCGGAGAGGCCGCUGGGACCUGGGCAUUGGCGCUCGGAGGAGGCGUGUGCGGGAAACCAGACCCCCGAGGACUGCAAUAAAUCUGCGUGGGGGCGCCGAGGGACACAGGGGGGACGGUGCAACCCCGGGGAGGAAUAAGGCCGCCGAGAAGCGGGGGAGCCCGACUCUGAAGUGAGAUAACCGUGGGCAAGUCCUUCAGGCCUCCAAGACUCUUCUUCAUCACUGAAACAGGGAGUCUCACAGCAAAUGACGGCAGAGGCUCUGGGCGGGACUUUAGGGGUCCCCUGUGUGGUCUGUUCAGGCUGAAGUAAACACCUCAGACUGGGCUGCUCUCGGCACUGAGAAGUACUUCCGGUUCUCCAGUACUGCUCUCCAGAACUCCAGCGUUGGCCGAGAAGUCCAAGGUCCAGGUACCAGGUUCAGUGUCUGUGCCUCACAGACGGCACCCUUUCACCGAGUCCCCACUUGGCAGGGGACAGGGGACAGGCAGGCUCCCUCAAGCCCUUCCACAGAUUCUGAUCCCACGCCUGAGGGCUCUGCCUUAUGGAGGUGACCUAAACCCCCUUGGAGGUCCCACCUAUUAAUACCGUCUCACAGGGACUGAAUUUCAGCAUGUGAAUUUUGUUGGCACACAUCCAUUUCAGUGGUGGCCUUCACACCGUAAAAGAAGGAGGCACACAGCAAUAGCUCCUAAGUUCCUGUUAUUAUCAUCACACUGAGGAGUUUAAGCAGUAGAGUAACCGGGUCACCUUUGCCCUGAGCCACAGCCGAAGGUCGAUCUCCAUCGCAAGACCAGCACCAGAACUGCUAAGGUCUCUCCCACAUCCCCUCUUCCUUGAUUCCCACGGUGGCCUCUCAGCCCUGAAGGACACCAACCUGCCCUGGCGGACUUCGGUUUCCCUCUCUGCUUCCAGAGACCAGAAGCAAAGCACAGCCAGGGGCAGGUGUUGAAGACACAGCCUGCAUCACAGAGGUCUGAGUUCCUUCCCUGGAAAACCUGUAAGAGGUUGCUGCUGCACACCUGUAAUCCCAAUACUCUGGAAGCUGAAGCAAGAGGAUUACAAAUUCCAGCCCAUCCUGGGCAACUUAGUGACUUAGCAAGGUCCGGUCUCAAAAUGAAAACUUAAUAAGGCUGAGGAUGUAGUAGAGUGAAGGCUCUGGAUUUGAUUCCCAGCCCUGGAAAGAAAAAAACUUCCUGUUCAUUUGUCUUCCCG
This is a long non-coding RNA of Heterocephalus glaber (naked mole-rat), 1343 nucleotides long. The record is from Ensembl. NCBI's taxonomy places the organism in Eukaryota, Metazoa, Chordata, Mammalia, Rodentia, Bathyergidae.